This 465-nucleotide ribosomal RNA is filed under the name uncultured bacterium. Its description in RNAcentral is "partial 16S ribosomal RNA". It matches the Rfam family "Bacterial small subunit ribosomal RNA", at positions 28 to 507 of the family's 1533-position model. The record is from RNAcentral.
GACGAACGCUGGCGGCGUGCUUAACACAUGCAAGUCGAACGGAAAGGCCCUGCUUGCAGGGUACUCGAGUGGCGAACGGGUGAGUAACACGUGGGUGAUCUGCCCUGCAUUUCGGGAUAAGCCUGGGAAACUGGGUCUAAUACCGGAUAGGAGCAAUCUUUAGAGAGAUGGUUGGAAAGUUUUUUCGGUGUAGGAUGAGCUCGCGGCCUAUCCGCUUGUUGGUGGGGUAAUGGCCUACCAAGGCGGCGACGGGUAGCCGGCCUGAGAGGGUGGACGGCCACAUUGGGACUGAGGUACGGCGCAGACUCCUACGGGAGGCAGCAGUGGAGAGUAUUGCACAAUAAGCGCGAGCCUGAUGCAACGACGCCGCGUGGGGGAUAACGGCCUUCUGGUUAUAAACUCCUUUCGCUAGGGACGAAGCUUUUUGUGACGUUACCUAGAUAGGAAGCACCGGCUAACUACGUG